GCGUCGUUUGCGACGCCCAACACACAAAACAAGCGGUGGGUGCUUUGGGGUGGGGUGACUGCGUACCUUUUGUAUAAUGGGUCAGCGACUUAUAUUCUGUAGCAAGGUUAACCGUAUAGGGGAGCCGUAGGGAAACCGAGUCUUAACCGGGCGUUAAGUUGCAGGGUAUAGACCCGAAACCCGGUGAUCUAGCCAUGGGCAGGUUGAAGGUUGGGUAACACUAACUGGAGGACCGAACCGACUAAUGUUGAAAAA
Molecule: ribosomal RNA, 255 nt
Filed under: Salmonella enterica subsp. enterica serovar Kentucky
Lineage: Bacteria; Pseudomonadati; Pseudomonadota; Gammaproteobacteria; Enterobacterales; Enterobacteriaceae
Description: partial 23S ribosomal RNA
Rfam family: Bacterial large subunit ribosomal RNA (bases 29-255)
Source: RNAcentral